RNAcentral lists this unclassified non-coding RNA (469 nucleotides) under Liangdongia laemsonensis. RNAcentral describes it as "[Candida] laemsonensis sequence contains 18S rRNA gene, ITS1, 5.8S rRNA gene, ITS2, 28S rRNA gene". The stretch from base 108 to 261 matches the Rfam family "5.8S ribosomal RNA". Lineage: Eukaryota; Fungi; Ascomycota; Saccharomycetes; Phaffomycetales; Wickerhamomycetaceae. The record is from RNAcentral.
GAUCAUUAGAUUUAGCUUUAUUGCAUUACACUUGAUAGUACUGAAAUUCUCGCAAGAGCAUAAACAACAAAAACUAUUACAACCAUGUCAACUAAGAUUAAUGUUAAAACUUUCAACAACGGAUCUCUUGGUUCUCGCAACGAUGAAGAACGCAGCGAAAUGCGAUACGUAAUGCGAUUUGCAUUUUUUCGUGAGUCAUCGAAUCUUUGAACGCACAUUGCGCUCUUUGGUAUUCCAGAGAGCAUGUCUGUUUGAGCGUCGUUUCCUUCUCAAACGCAAGUUUGGUGUUGGGCGGUGCGUGAGCUAGCCUGAAAUAAUGGUUGUGGAGGCGCUGUAUUGUCUUCUGCGAGGUUUGUACUAGGAAUAAUACUUACUUGAACAGGACCAAAGACUACGCAGAGUCCCCCACUGAAUUUAUCAAGCUCGACCUCAAAUCAGACAAGAGUACCCGCUGAACUUAAGCAUAUCA